CAGCACUGACAAUUUAGCCGGUGUUGACACCUGUCAUUUCAUUUCCUUCACAGUUUGGAAGAUGAAGUCUUGUUUUAUAUGGUGCAGACUGAGCAGCCAAUCUUCAUAGAAUCGUGAUUGAAACAUUUUAUUUGGCAAAGAUUUCGGAAUGUAAUUAUUGUAAUUUAUUCCACAGUAGCUGAUGAUCUACUACCAGUUCAGAUUAAAGGCGACACUGACACUCUGAAUAAACGACUAAUGUUAUUUAAUGUAAUUGUCAUUUUUUCACAGUGGCUGAUGGCCUAACCACUACUGGUGCAGCCUCGAUGAAUAAAUCAUCUAUUUUCAUUUUGUUUCAUCUUUGAUGCCGUCCUUCGACACCAUGCCGCUUCAAAAUAUAAAGGUGGAACCGAUGAAAGCGACGUCGACCACUGAGAAAACCGCAAUACCCUCCAUCGACCAGGAGAUGAUCGCCAUGAAACGGAAGGGGGAUCCAAGGUCGUACAACGACCGGAUGUCUUGGCUCGCCGUUUUUUACAAGUUAAUUCCCGACGGGAUAGGAGUGGCUGGUUUACGCUACGCCUUCAAUCCACGGGAGAUCAGAAUAAGAAGAUCAAUGUGGCUUCUUCUCGUGCUCAUCGCUUUCUGUUUCACCAGCUACCAGAUCGUAGAUAGGAUCUUGUAUUUUGCAUCCCAUCCGAAGGACGUUGACAUCAACAUCGAGUACAGACAUGAGGUUCCUUUUCCUUCCGUCGCUAUCUGCAACAUCAACAUAUUCAGGAGAGGGGCAGUCAAUGGAACAGUCUUUGAGGACUUUCUAGCCGAUCUGUUCUUCAACGGUACAUCUGUAAACAUGACAAAAUACCGAGAUGAGUUAGAGCAGUACGAAAUGACUGAGACGUUUCGAGAAAUGGGGCAUGACGUCGAAAUGACAAUAAAAGAUUUUUACUGGAGCGGCUUGGAAUUGUCCCUCGACAAUUUUACCAUGAGAAACACGGAAGCGGGUGUGUGCAUCGUUUUCAACGAUAUUGACAAUGGAUUCCCACAGUUGAUGGCCAGCGGUAACGGACCAAGAAACGGUUUGUAUCUGAAGUUGAAAGCCUCUCAGGAUGACUACUACUUUCAUCCCUUUCAAAUGAUUACCGCUGGAUUUCAGGUCCUACUCUACGACUACGGCACUGAACCUGUGAUUGAGAGGGGUUCUUUCGGCAUCGCCGUUGGGAUGGAAACACAUGUUGCAGUCGAUAUUACAGAAUACUAUAACCUCCCGAGACCUCAUGGACUUUGUGAAAACAAAACCCUGAAGUACUUUGACACCUACGGAUAUUCGGAGUGCGCUCUGGAAUGCGCAUCGGAGUUCAUCCUCGAGCGGUGCAACUGCAAUAUUCUAUCCAUGAACACCCCCGCACGAGAAUGUAACGCGUAUGAAUUCUUCAAUUGCAUUAACCCUAGUUUUGGAAUAAUAUCUGUUCACUUGUGAUAUUCAUGAAAGACCUGAGCGUUGAAACUAUCUCGCAACAGAUUAAAUACCCGUUCUUCAGUUUGUUAUGUGAUAUUGGCGGUUCCCUUGGUCUCUGGCUAGGUGGAAGUAUUCUAACUGUGUUUGAAGUAUUCGAUCUGUUCAGCAUGUCAACAUA
This 1616-nucleotide unclassified non-coding RNA is filed under the name Lytechinus variegatus (green sea urchin). Its description in RNAcentral is "acid-sensing ion channel 1-like, transcript variant X2". The record is from RNAcentral. Lineage: Eukaryota; Metazoa; Echinodermata; Echinoidea; Temnopleuroida; Toxopneustidae.